This 167-nucleotide unclassified non-coding RNA is filed under the name soil metagenome. RNAcentral's name for it is "partial internal transcribed spacer 1". The record is from RNAcentral.
CAGGACUCGCAAGACUCCUACAACCCUGUGAACUUCACUAUAAGCACGUUGCUUCGGCGGGUGUCUCGGCGAGGGUCCCCACUGGGACCUGCGGGGCGCGAAGCCCGCCGGCAGCCUACUAUACUCUGUCUCUUUGCGUUGGCAUCUCGAGAAAAGCAAACAAGUUA